This 541-nucleotide ribosomal RNA is filed under the name uncultured archaeon. RNAcentral's name for it is "bacterial SSU rRNA". It matches the Rfam family "Bacterial small subunit ribosomal RNA", at positions 509 to 1050 of the family's 1533-position model. The record is from RNAcentral.
CAGCCGCCGCGGUAAUACGUAGGGGGCGAGCGUUGUCCGGAAUUACUGGGCGUAAAGGGUGCGUAGGCGGCCCUUUAAGUCAGAUGUGAAAGGCCACGGCUUAACCGUGGGAUUGCAUUUGAAACUGGAGGGCUUGAGUGUCGGAGAGGGUAGUGGAAUUCCCAGUGUAGCGGUGAAAUGCGUAGAUAUUGGGAGGAACACCAGUGGCGAAGGCGACUACCUGGACGAUAACUGACGCUGAGGCACGAAAGCUAGGGGAGCAAACAGGAUUAGAUACCCUGGUAGUCCUAGCCGUAAACGAUGGGUACUAGGUGUAGGUGGUUUCGAUACCAUCUGUGCCGGAGUUAACGCAAUAAGUACCCCGCCUGGGGAGUACGUGCGCAAGCAUGAAACUCAAAGGAAUUGACGGGGGCCCGCACAAGCGGUGGAGCAUGUGGUUUAAUUCGAAGCAACGCGAAGAACCUUACCAGGCCUUGACAUCCCCUGACCGUCAUGGAAACAUGGCUUCUCUUCGGAGCAGGGAGACAGGUGGUGCAUGGCC